This is an RNA transcript of Mus musculus (house mouse), 1243 nucleotides long. It is a transcript of the gene named histocompatibility 2, blastocyst, transcript variant 1, non-coding, with no coding region annotated. The record is from RefSeq and is marked validated. The transcript is spliced from 6 exons. Lineage: Eukaryota; Metazoa; Chordata; Mammalia; Rodentia; Muridae.
AGAUGCCCUGUAUUCCAAAUGGGGCAAUGGCGCAGCGAACGCUGUUCCUGCUGCUGGCGGCCGCCCUGACUAUGAUCGAGACUCGCGCGGGCCCACACUCGAUGCGAUAUUUCGAGACCGCAGUGUUCCGGCCCGGCCUCGGGGAGCCCCGGUUCAUCUCUGUCGGCUACGUGGACAACACGCAGUUCGUGAGCUUCGACAGCGAUGCGGAGAAUCCGAGAUCUGAGCCGCGGGCGCCGUGGAUGGAACAGGAGGGACCGGAGUAUUGGGAGCGGGAAACACAGAUCGCCAAGGACAAUGAGCAGAGUUUCGGAUGGAGCCUGAGGAACCUGAUCCACUACUACAACCAGAGCAAGGGCGGCUUUCACACAUUCCAGCGGUUGUCUGGCUGUGACAUGGGGUUGGACGGGCGCCUCCUCCGCGGGUACCUGCAGUUCGCUUAUGAUGGCCGCGAUUACAUCACCCUGAACGAAGACCUGAAAACGUGGAUGGCGGCGGAUCUGGUAGCGCUGAUCACCCGACGCAAGUGGGAGCAGGCUGGUGCUGCAGAGCUAUACAAGUUCUACCUGGAGGCCGAGUGCGUGGAGUGGCUCCGCAGAUACCUGCAGCUCGGGAAGGAGACGCUGCUGCGCACAGAUCCCCCAAAGGCACAUGUGACCCAUCAUCCCAGACCUGCAGGUGAUGUCACCCUGAGGUGCUGGGCCCUGGGCUUCUACCCUGCUGACAUCACCCUGACCUGGCAGUUGAAUGGGGAGGAGCUGACUCAGGACAUGGAGCUUGUGGAGACCAGGCCUGCAGGGGAUGGAACCUUCUAGAAGUGGGCAGCUGUGGUGGUGCCUCUUGGGAAGGAGCAGAAUUACACAUGCCAUGUGUACCAUGAGGGGCUGCCUGAGCCCCUCACCCUGAGAUGGGAGCCUCCUCCAUCCACCGGCUCCAACAUGGUAAACAUAGCUGUUCUGGUUGUCCUUGGAGCUGUGAUCAUCAUUGAAGCUAUGGUGGCUUUUGUGUUGAAGAGCAGCAGAAAAAUAGCCAUCCUUCCUGGUCCAGCAGGCACUAAGGGAUCAUCUGCAUCCUGACAGCUCCAUGCUGCCCUGAGCUGCAGCUCCUCACUACCACACUGAACAUAAGAAUCUGAAUGUGAACUUGAUUGCUCAAAUCUUUGAGCUGAGGGUUGAUUAGUGGAGUGACAUAACUCAAAGUGCUGAAGCAGAAAUAAAUGGCAACAUGGAGAACCUUCCAGAAA